AUGGCUAAGUAUCUAUAUGGUUCUUUUGCCAUAUCAGUCUGCUUAACCCUGUCUUUUGUUGCUGCAACAACAAGAGAACCUUUUCGCCCAGAACCAUCUCGGAAGACCAGUGAGCCUUCUGUGUCAUACAGCCCACAGCCGCAACAUUUCCCAAACGAGCGGCUAUACCAAGCCUACCUCGUUAUCCAGCGCUUCAAGAGCAGCAUUUCUAGUGACCCGAAAAACAUCACCACGACCUGGUCUGGCCAUGAUAUCUGCGGGAGGAAAACCUACCUUGGGUUCCAUUGCGGGAGGACACCUGAACUGGCUAAGAACCUCACGAUCAUGGCGGUUGCUUUCAAUGAUUUUGGGCUGAGUGCGCCGAUGCUGCGAGGCUUCAUCGACCAGCUCCCCGACCUUGUGCUUUUUCAGGCUUCCUCCAACAAGUUUGGCGGUGGCAUCCCGCCCCUCGGCAGCCUUCAGUACCAGUACAAGCUAAGUAUCCAUGACGAUCGCCAUGAUUCAUUUUCUGAGAGCAAGUAUCUCCUCGGCACAAAUCUCGGACUGGGUCCUGUUAAUAUUGGUGUAAAGCUAGCUGUUGUCAAAACCCCCCGAAAGGGCACAAAUCUUAAUAGUGGUAGGGCGCUUCUCCUGAACAGCAACAGUUUAUCCGGGACACUACCUGCAAACUUGGGCUUCUCCAAGUUGAGCUACCUCGCCCUCGCCAACAACAAGCUCACCGGGGCAAUCCCGCCAUCAAUCGCGCACAUGCAAGACUCCCUCCUCGAGAUGCUCCUCCUCAACAACCAGCUCUCAGGCUGCCUCCCCAACGAGCUCGGCAUGCUCACCAAAACCGCCGUCAUCGACGCCGGGAUGAACCAGCUGACCGGCCCGAUCCCGUCAUCCUUCUCCUGCCUCAGCAGCGUCGAGCAGCUCAACCUCGCCGGGAACCGCCUCUACGGGCAGGUCCCCGACGCGCUCUGCAAGCUGGCCGGGCCGGCCGGCCGCCUCUCCAACCUCACGCUGUCGGGCAACUACUUCACCUCGGUCGGGACGGCGUGCUCGGCGCUGAUCAAGGACGGCGUGCUGGACGUCAAGCACAACUGCAUCCCCGGCUUCGCCAACCAGAGGGGCCUGGCGGAGUGCGCCACGUUCCUGAGCCAGCCCAAGACGUGCCCGGCGGCGAGCGCUCGCGUGGCGUGCCCCGCCGCGGACGCCAAGAUGAACACGGCGGCGCCGGAGGGGAAGGUGGCCAAGGACUACUCCAGCUACGUGGUGUACGCCACUCUGCAUGAGUGA
RNAcentral lists this ribosomal RNA (1278 nucleotides) under Triticum aestivum (bread wheat). Its description in RNAcentral is "partial small subunit ribosomal RNA". Lineage: Eukaryota; Viridiplantae; Streptophyta; Magnoliopsida; Poales; Poaceae. The record is from RNAcentral.